RNAcentral lists this long non-coding RNA (7508 nucleotides) under Gossypium barbadense (sea-island cotton). RNAcentral describes it as "long non-coding RNA (GBAR_LNC002804)". Lineage: Eukaryota; Viridiplantae; Streptophyta; Magnoliopsida; Malvales; Malvaceae. The record is from RNAcentral.
CGAAUUUUGCUCUCCUCCAUAGCUGGGGUUUCUUCAAUUUCCAAGCUCCAUAGUAAGUGAUUCCAAGCCCCGUUUUUAAUGAUCUUUACGUUUUUGGAGUCCCGGUAACUUGAUUAAGCUUAUUCUAGCAAUAAUUCAACCUAGGGUUCAUAUUUGGAAAAAUACCCAUAGAUGAAAUUUGUGUAUUUUGGUGUUUUAUUAUAGAAUAUGAGGUUUUAAAUUAUGUUAGACAACUUGUGCUACUCGGUUUUAAGUGAAAACGAGUAAAAUGGCUUAAUUGGUAAAAAUACCUAAUAGUCAUAAGUACAUGUUAGAGUGUGAAUUUGAUGUUGCCGUAGAAGGGAAAAAUGAUCAGCAUGUCAUAAAACAUAAGAAAAUAGGAUGAAGUUUAAUUUACGAGCCUUGGGGCAAAAGUGCAAAUAUGUGAAAGUUUAGAGGCAAAAAUGUAAUUUUGCCAAAGUUUGAGUCACGGACUGUUUUAAUACAUGUGAGUAUUAAAAAAGCUAAAUUUUUUAUAUAGAUCAAGAAGAACAAAAUCUGGAGUUAGACCGAGGAAAGAAGAAGAUAGUGGACUAAAUCGAUAUAGUUGAUCGUAUUUUGUUUUGAGGUAAGUUUGCGGUAAAUAAAUGUAAUAUUCUAUUAUUUUAUGUUAAUUUUGUUAAUUUCCAGCAUGUGUAUAUUUAUUUUAUGAAAUUAUUCAAAGAAGACUCAAGCAUGAAUUGACGGAGAAGUAAUUUCAGAAAGUCCCGGUUGAACCUUAGGAAUGUGUAGGAUACAAAUGUCAUGACAUUAGGGUUUAAGGAUACCAUGUAAGACCAUGCUAAGGCAUGGCAAUUGGUAAGGUUUAUAAGGCAAGGAAAUCAUGUAAGACCAUGUCAAGACACGGCAUUGAUAAGUUACUAUAAGGCAAAGGUUCCAUGUAAGACCAUGCCAAGGCAUAGCAUUGGUGAGUUCAUAAGGCAAGGAUACCAUGUAAGACCAUGUCAAGACAUGGCAAUGGUAAGUUUCAAAAGGAUACCACGUAAGACCAUGACAAGUCAUGGCAAUGGUAAGGUACCCGUGUAUCCUUAGUAUUCCAAGUGGUUCAACAGGAAAAUUUAAAGAGAAUAUCGAGGUAAGGUAAGGUAAGACAAGUUCAUGCUAGAAGAGCAAAGGUAAGUACAUAAUGUUCAUGUAUGCUUGAUAAGGAAAAAGGUAAGUAAAAUGUAUUAAUAAAUUUGAUUAAGUAAGUAAGUAUUUAAGUAAGUGAGUAAGUGAAGAAGUUUAAAAUAUGUCUAUGACAAUUAAUGAAGCUGCAUUAAGUAGUAAGAUAAUUCUUAUGAAUGUUGUUAUUUAUUUGCAUGCAAACUUACUAAGCUUAAUGCUUACCCCCUUUAUUUUCCUUCUUUUUAUAGUUUUGUCAAGCUAACUCGGGGAUCGUAAAGUACGUCGGAGGUCCAGGCACACUAUCACAAGGGUAAUUUUGGUAUAGCUAGACGUUUCAUUUUGAGUAUGGCAUGUAUAGUAUCGUAGCCAUUUUGUGUGUAUGAUCUUAUGAUAUGGCUGAUGAAUGGUAUGUAAAUGUUUGAUAAUUAUUAGCUGUUGGAAUGGCUAAUCAAGGACAUGUUUGGUGUUAUGUAUGUGUAAAUGCUAGUUAUUCCAUGGAAAUCAUGAAAAAGGUGAAAUUAGCACAAAACAGAAUCAGACAGUAGCAGUGACGUGAAUUUGAAAAAUCACUAAAAAUAGUAGAACUAGAAUUAAAUGAUGAAUAAGUUAUGAAAUUAAAUAUUAUUAUGUCAAUUUUCAAAUGGAAGAGACAAAAUAGGUAAAUGAGUUAUACUUUAUGAGAUAUUUAAGUUUUUGUGAAACAGGGCCAGAGCGAUUUCUGGAUCCCCUUUUCUGAAUUCGGAAAUUAACCAUAAAUUGUAAAAAAAUUAUUAAGAGUCAUACCUUACAUGCAUGGAUUCCUUAUUGAGUCUAUUUUUAAGCGAAACAAACGGUAUGGUCAUUGAAAUUAUGUACAUGGAGAAAUUUGAUUCGUAGUGCACAGGGGUCAGAGUAGUCAUACCUUGAAACAGGGGAGACUUUAACUAAUAAACUGUACUAAAUGGCUCAACCAAAAAUUCUGGAAAUUUUAUGGAAGAAAUAUAAAUGAGUCUAGUUUCAGAGUAAAUUUACGGAAUUGGAUUUCGUAUUUUGGAACUCAAUAUAUGAAUUUUUAAGCGACUAGGACGUAGAUUGCCAGCUUGUCUGGAAGUUCUAAAACAAAUUGUUUGAGCUGUUUAAGUAAUGAAUUAAGUCCGUUAACACCUCGUGUUCGACUCCGGCGACGGUCUCGAUUACGGGCGUUACAUUUAUUGGUAUUAGAGCCAAGUUUUAGUCGGUUCUCGGAAUAUUUAGUAUGAGUAAGAGUCUAGCUAUACAUGUCAUACUUAUGUAUUGAUAGUGUGACGAAUCCUGACGAUUUUAAAAUGUUUUCUUUUAUAGUUAUGGAUCCCGAACAAGCUGGUGCAGAUGAUGUAGAGAGUAACGUGCCCGCUCCCACAGAAGGGACGGUGCCACCAAAUAGUAGUGAAAGGCCCAUUACAGUUAGUCAGGGAGGAGGGGCUCGAGAAGCCUUCUUCCAAGCUAUGAAUGAAUGGUUUGCUGAGUUCGUUCGGACGAAUCCGGCUGUUAGACCUCCACCCCUUCAUGAUCAUCAGACCACCCAUGUAGCUCCUCCAGUCACAGGUACGGUUAUAAGAGAAAAACCACCAGUUGAUAAAAUCAGAAAACAAGGAGCCGAAGAGUUUCGAGCUACAAAAGAUGAUGAUGCAGAAAAGGCAGAAUUUUGGCUCGAGAAUACUAUCAGAGUCUUUGAUGAGUUAUCCUGCACACCUGAGGAAUGUAUGAAAUGUGUUGUAUCACUCCUUAGAGAUUCGGCCUACCAUUGGUGGAAGACACUUGUAUCAGUUGUACCGAAAGAGAGAGUCACUUGGGACUUCUUUCAGGAGGAAUUCUGUAAAAAGUACAUCAGUCAGAGGUUUGUUGACCAGAAAAGAAAAGAGUUUCUAGAGUUGAAAUAGGGCAAUAUGACAGUGACUGAAUAUGAGCGCGAGUUUGUUAGACUCAGCAGUUAUGCUCGAGAGUGUGUGUCUACAGAGGCUAUUAUGUGCAAAAGAUUUGAGGAUGGGCUUAAUGAUGAUAUCCGAUUGUCUGUUGGUGUCCUAGAAAUAAAAGAAUUUAUUAUCCUAGUUGAGAGAACCUGUAAGGCAGAGGAGCUGUUAAAAAGAAAGGGCAAAUUUGAAAUUGAGACACAAGACACGAAGAAAAGGCUAAUGAGCAAGUCAUUUCAGUCUACAUCCAAGAGGCCUAGAGAGUUCUCCACUAGAUCUAAUUUUUCAGCUGGAUAUUCUAGCCGAAACAGAGGCAGAAGAUUUAUGAGUCCGAAAGCUCAGACCACUUCGAUUGCAAGUGUUGGCAGUGUUCAGCUUGAUAGACCAGAGUGUCCCCGAUGUGGUCCACAUCACCCAGGUCAGUGUCGAGCAACUCAGACAGGUUGUUUCUGAUGUGGUGCACCAGACCAUUUUAUUCGAGAGUGUCCCGAGAUGAUAAAAAGAGAAGCAACACCGAGUGUAAGAUCAGGAAAAGUUUCUGUCAGAGGCAGACCACUGAGAAAUCUGGGAGUUGGGGAAAAUAAUAGAGGUUCAUCUAGAGAUUUAGCAGUGAGGCCAGAUGUUAGAGCACCUGCAAGGACUUAUGCUAUCCGUGCUCGCGAGGAGGCAUCCUCCCCCGAUGUGAUUACGGGUACAUUUUCUCUCCAUGAUGCUAGAGUUAUUGCUUUGAUUGAUCCGGGUUCAACCCACUCAUAUGUUUGCAUGAAAUUGAUGCCUAGUAUGAGUAUGCCUAUAGAAUCUACAGAAUUUGUGAUUAAAGUAUCGAAUCCAUUAGGCAAACAUGUAUUAGUAGAUAAAAUAUGUAGAAAUUGCCCUUUGAUAAUUAGAUGCUACUGUUUUCCGGCUGAUCUCAUGCUAUUGCCAUUUGAUGAGUUUGAUGUGAUUCUUGGUAUGGAUUGGUUGACUACACAUGAUGUGAUAGUGAAUUGUGGAAAGAAAUUCAUUGAAUUGAAAUGUGAAAAUGGUAAAGAUUCUAACUCGAGAGGUAAAGCAAUUAAGGAACAAAUAUAUUGCACUUGUGAAAGUACUAUGGAAUAGACAUGGGGUAGACGAGGCUACAUGGGAGCCCGAAGAGGCUAUGUGAAAAUAGUACCCAAAUCUCUUCACAGGUAAGAUUUUUGGGGACGAAAAUCCCUAAAAGGGGGGAGAAAUGUAACAUCCCGAAAUAGGGCCUAGACGGAACAGUGGUUGCGAAACCAUAAAUCUGAGAUAGAAAUAAUUAUUUUAUAAUUAUUUUGAGGUUUAUGAUAUAAUUGCAUGAUUGUGUGAAAAUUUCGUGAUGAAAUUCUAUGCAUAAAGUGCUUAAGUUGAGAUUAGGGACUAAAUCAAAUAAUUCGCAAAACUUGCAUUCUAGAAGUUUUUAAUAUGAAAUUGCUUUCGAAUAUUAAUGAGGAGGUCUUAAAUAGCAAUCUGACCAAUUUCUAAGUCUAUGGACAAAAAUUAGACAUGGAUGGAAUUUUUGGAAAGUUUAGUAGUAAGGGCAUUUUGGUCAUUUGGAUAUUAAAUGAAAUAACACAAAAAUGGUCAUCUUCUCAAUUAGUUGCUGCCGAAUUUUGCUCUCCUCCAUAGCUGGGGUUUCUUCAAUUUUCAAACUCCAUAGUAAGUGAUUCCAAGCCUCGUUUUUAAUGAUCUUUACGUUUUUGGAAUAAGCUUAAUCAAGUUACCUGGACUCCAAAAACGUAAAGAUCAUUAAAAACGGGGCUUGGAAUCACUUACUAUGGAGUUUGAAAAUUGAAGAAACCCCAGCUAUGGAGGAGAGAAAAAUUCGGCAGCAACUAAUUGAGAAGAUGACCAUUUUUGUGUUAUUUUUCCCAUUUUUAUUUCAUUUAAUAUCCAAAUGACCAAAAUGCCCUUACUACUAAACUUUCCAAAAAUUCCAUCCAUGUCCAAUUUUUGUCCAUAGACUUAGAAAUUGGUCAUAUUUCUAUUUAAGACCCCCUCAUUAAUAUUCUAAAGCAAUUUCAUACUAAAAACUUCUAGAAUGCAAGUUUUGCGAAUUAUUCGAUUUAGUCCCUAAUUUCAACUUAAGCACUUUAUGCAUAGAAUUUCAUCACGAAAUUUUCACACAAUCAUGCAAUCAUAUCAUAGUCCUCAAAAUAAUUAUAAAAUAAUUAUUUCUAUCUCAGAUUUGUGAUUUCAUAACCACUGUUCCGUCUAGGCCCUAUUUCGGGAUGUUACAUUUCUCCCCCCUUUAGGGAUUUUCGUCCCCAAAAAUCUUACUUGUGAAGAGAUUUGGGUACUUUUUCUCAUAGCCUCUUCGGGCUCCCAUGUAGCCUCGUCUACCCCAUGUCUAUUCCAUAGUACUUUCACAAGUACAAUACUUUUGUUCAUUAAUUGCUUUACCUCUCGAGUUAGAAUCUUUACCAUUUUCACAUUUCAACUCAAUGAAUUUCUUUCCACAAUUCACUAUCACAUCAUGUGUAGUCAACCAAUCCAUAACAAGAAUCACAUCAAACUCAUCAAAUGGCAAUAGCAUGAGAUCGGCCCGAAAACAGUAGCCUCUAAUCAUCAAAGGGCAAUUUCUACAUAUUUUAUCUACUAAUACAUGCUUGCCUAAUGGAUUCGAUACUUUAAUCACAAAUUCUGUAGAUUCUAUAGGCAUACUCAUACUAGGCAUCAAUUUCAUGCAAACAUAUGAGUGGGUUGAACCCGAAUCAAUCAAAGUAAUAACUCUAGUAUCAUGGAGAGAAAAUGUACCCGUAAUCACAUCGGGAGAGGAUGCCUCCUCGCGAGCACGGAUAGCAUAAGUCAUCGCAGGUGCUCUAACAUCUGGCCUCACUGCUAAAUCUCUAGAUGCACCUCUAUUAUUUUCCCCAACUCCCAGAUUUCUCAGUGGUCUGCCUCUGACAGAAGCUUUUCCUGAUCUUACACUCGGUGUUGCUUCCCUUUUUAUCAUCUCGGGACACUCUCGAAUAAAAUGGUCUGGUGCACCACAUCGGAAACAACCUGUCUCAGUUGCUUGACACUAACCUGGGUGAUGUCGACCACAUCGGGGACACUCUGGUCUAUCAGGCUGAACACUGGCAACACUUGCAAUCGAAGUGGUCUGAGCUUUCGGACUCAUAAAUCUUCUGCCUCUGUUUCGGCUAGAAUAUCCAGCUGAAAAAUUAGAUCUAGUGGAGAACUCUCUAGGCCUCUUGGAUGUAGACUGAAAUGACUUGCUCAUUAGUCUUUUCUUCGUGUCUUGUGUCUCAAUUUCAAAUUUGCCCUUUCUUUUUAACAGCUCCUCUGCCUUACAGGUUCUCUCAACUAGGAUAACAAAUUCUUUUAUUUCUAGGACACCAACAGACAAUCGGAUAUCAUCAUUAAGCCCAUCCUCAAAUCUUUUGCACAUAAUAGCCUCUAUAGACACACACUCUCGAGCAUAACUGCUGAGUCUAACAAACUCGCGCUCAUAUUCAGUUACUGUCAUAUUGCCCUAUUUCAACUCUAGAAAAUCUUUUCUUUUCUGGUCAACAAACCUCUGACUGAUGUACUUUUUACGGAAUUCCUCCUAAAAGAAGUCCCAAGUGACUCUCUCUUUCGGUACAACUGAUACAAGUGUCUUCCACCAAUGGUAGGCCGAAUCUCUAAGGAGUGAUACAACACAUUUCAUACAUUCCUCAGGUGUGCAGGAUAACUCAUCAAAGACUCUGAUAGUAUUCUCGAGCCAAAAUUCUGCCUUUUCUGCAUCAUCAUCUUUUGUAGCUCGAAACUCUUCGGCUCCUUGUUUUCUGAUUUUAUCAACUGGUGGUUUUUCUCUUAUAACCGUACCUGUGACUGGAGGAGCUACAUGGGUGGUCUAAUGAUCAUGAAGGGGUGGAGGUCUAACAGCCGGAUUCGUCCGAACGAACUCGGCAAACCAUUCAUUCAUAGCUUGGAAGAAGGCUUCUCGAGCCCCUCCUCCCUGACUAACUGUAAUGGGCCUUUCACUACUAUUUGGUGGCACCGUCCCUUCUGUGGGAGUGGGCACGUUACUCUCUACAUCAUCUGCACCAGCUUGUUCGGGAUCCAUAACUAUAAAAGAAAACAUUUUAAAAUCGUCAGGAGUCGUCACACUAUCAAUACAUAAGUAUGGCAUGUAUAGCUAGACUCUUACUCAUACUAAAUAUUCCGAGAACCGACUAAAACUUGGCUCUGAUACCAAUAAAUGUAACGCCCGUACCCGAGACCGUCGCCGGAGUCGAACACGAGGUGUUAACGGACUUAAUUCAUUACUUAAACAGCUCAAACAAUUUGUUUUAGAACUUCCAGACAAGCUGGCAAUCUACGUCCUAGUCGCUUAAAAAUUCAUAUAUUGAGUUCCAAAAUACGAAAUCCAAUUCCGUAAAUUUACUCUGAAACUAGACUCAUUUAUAUUUCUUCCAUAAAAUUUCCAGAAUUUUUGGUUGAGCC